UGGCUGCAAAAAUGUAUAUAU
Molecule: small nuclear RNA, 21 nt
Filed under: Arabidopsis thaliana (thale cress)
Lineage: Eukaryota; Viridiplantae; Streptophyta; Magnoliopsida; Brassicales; Brassicaceae
Description: snRNA_18748
Source: RNAcentral